RNAcentral lists this long non-coding RNA (292 nucleotides) under Elaeis guineensis (African oil palm). RNAcentral's name for it is "long non-coding RNA (EGUI_LNC073543)". The record is from RNAcentral. Lineage: Eukaryota; Viridiplantae; Streptophyta; Magnoliopsida; Arecales; Arecaceae.
UCGUGCUCAACUCAAUUAGUCCUGUGACUCCUCACUAGGACUACCCUGGCCAAGGUUUUGCUAAAUUGAAACAUGACUGUACACAGCUCCUGAACUGGAGUGGUCAAUCCCAUCUUGACACACGCACCGACAAGUCAAGUACUUGACUACACCCAGCAUCCUUCCGUCAUUGAAUUAGAAAUUCAGGUAGUCCAGUGCCUAAGUGCAGUGAGUUGCUUGCAAGUCACCGUGGCGGUCUCAGGUCGGAGGGACAUUUAUACUCAUAUCCCAUCAGAGCAAAUUUUGACAGCAG